UACUCCUACGGGAGGCAGCAGUGGGGAAUAUUGCACAAUGGGCGAAAGCCUGAUGCAGCGACGCCGCGUGAGGGAUGACGGCCUUCGGGUUGUAAACCUCUUUCAGCAGGGACGAAGCGCAAGUGACGGUACCUGCAGAAGAAGCACCGGCUAACUACGUGCCAGCAGCCGCGGUA
This 176-nucleotide ribosomal RNA is filed under the name uncultured bacterium. RNAcentral describes it as "partial 16S ribosomal RNA". It matches the Rfam family "Bacterial small subunit ribosomal RNA", at positions 334 to 522 of the family's 1533-position model. The record is from RNAcentral.